RNAcentral lists this long non-coding RNA (281 nucleotides) under Homo sapiens (human). Its description in RNAcentral is "non-protein coding lnc-TP53INP1-3:1". Lineage: Eukaryota; Metazoa; Chordata; Mammalia; Primates; Hominidae. The record is from RNAcentral.
CUGGCAGGCUAUGUACUUCCUGCAUACGGGGAAAGGGACGUCCUUUGAGACCCCCUUAACAAGGAAAGGCUUGGCUACUGAUACACUGGGAGCGGAUGGACUACAGGCUCCAGGUACCUCUGCCCACAAGUUCCUUAGCAUCUCUCCUAUGGCAUUCUACCUCCUGACAGCUUCCAUGCCAGGUAUGAUGCUGCUUCCUUCUUCAUCAACACAGCCUCACCGCUCAGCAUAUUGCUGCUUAAGCUGCCCCAAUUCCAUGGGGUUCCUAUCUGCAGCAUCAA